UCGUACGGGACACGGUUAGGGUAACUUGAGCGUGUUCAGUGGCGGACGGGAGAGUAAUACAUGGGCAACGUACCCUGAACUUGGGGAUAACUGCGGGAGCUUCGGCUCUCUUUAGCGAAAGUGUGGCUAAUACCCAAUGAAGUCGUUCGGUCGCAUGGCCGGACGACCAAAGGCGGGGACCGGGCAACCGGCCUGCUGGUUUUGGAGCGGCCCAUGACCUAUCAGCUUGUUGGCGAGGUAACGGCUCACCAAGGCUGCGACGGGUAGGGGGCGUGAGAGCGUGGCCCCCCUCAUCGGGACUGAGACACUGCCCGGACACCUACGGGUGGCUGCAGUAACGAAUCUUGGGCAAUGGGCGCAAGCCUGACCCAGCGAUGCCGCGUGCAGGAGGAAGCCCUUCGGGGUGUAAACUGCUGUCAGGGGCUAGCAAGCAAAGCCGGUGAAUAAUCGGCGGCGCUGAGCCGCCCCAGAGGAAGCCUCGACUAACUCUGUGCCAGCAGUCGCGGUAAGACAGAGGAGGCUAGCGUUGUUCGGAAUUACUGGGCUUAAAGCGGGUGUAGGCGGCUGCGCAAGUGUCCUGUGAAAGCCCACGGCUCAACCGUGGAACGGCAGGGCAAACUACGUAGCUUGAGGCCGGUAGAGGUGCCUGGAACUCU
This 656-nucleotide ribosomal RNA is filed under the name uncultured bacterium. RNAcentral's name for it is "bacterial SSU rRNA". It matches the Rfam family "Bacterial small subunit ribosomal RNA", at positions 62 to 670 of the family's 1533-position model. The record is from RNAcentral.